CAAAUUAAAAAUUAAAUUUUAUUUACAAUAAAGUUAGAGUUAUUAGUUUAACUUAAUUUGA
This 61-nucleotide transfer RNA is filed under the name Allantus togatus. Its description in RNAcentral is "tRNA-Val". Lineage: Eukaryota; Metazoa; Arthropoda; Insecta; Hymenoptera; Tenthredinidae. The record is from RNAcentral.